UACGUAGGAGGCGAGCGUUGUCCGGAAUUACUGGGCGUAAAGAGCGCGUAGGCGGCACGGUACGACCGGUGUGAAAGCCCCCGGCUCAACUGGGGAGGGUCACCGGUAACGGCCGAGCUAUGAGUGCAGGAGAGGGAAGUGGAACUCCGGGAGUAGAGGUGAAAUGCGUAGAGACCCGGAGGAACACCAGUGGCGAAGGCGGCGUCCUGGCCUGCGACUGACGCUGUGGCGCGAAAGCUAGGGGAGCGAACGGG
This 254-nucleotide ribosomal RNA is filed under the name uncultured bacterium. RNAcentral describes it as "partial 16S ribosomal RNA". It matches the Rfam family "Bacterial small subunit ribosomal RNA", at positions 524 to 776 of the family's 1533-position model. The record is from RNAcentral.